Non-coding RNA from Pelobates cultripes (western spadefoot toad), 448 nucleotides. The record is from the annotation of a GenBank genome assembly. Lineage: Eukaryota; Metazoa; Chordata; Amphibia; Anura; Pelobatidae.
CAUCCAUGGAUAACCCACAGGAGGGCUCGGAGAUUUUCCUCGACAAUUCGGGCCUCCAAAUGUUCGACCCAAGAAACAUCCGGCACCCCCGUUCGGAAGAAUGGUCACCACCUGAGCAUUUGGCAAGGUUUAUGCAUUUCUGGCUCAGAAAACCGCUAGACAAGGAAGUAAGAAACCGGAUGAGAUCCGAAUGCCCUCGCCCUAGUCUACCGGACAAAGUGACGCACACCCCCGAGUUUGACCCACUCAUGACUACGUUCAUGUCCCGAGGGGGUCGGGAUCCGCGCAAGGACAUAGAGCGCGGCUUUAAAGGAGCGCAAGAUAAGCUGCUAGAUGCCAUUGGGCCACUAGCCAGAAUCAUGGAUAUGGCGGAUGAAGCCUAUGAGAGGGCUGACACUUUCACCCCAGAUACGGUGCGUGAAUGGGCACGAGAUACCCGUGAAUGGGC